CCUACGGGAGGCAGCAGUAAGGAAUAUUGCGCAAUGGGCGAGAGCCUGACGCAGCGACGCCGCGUGGGGGAUGAAGGUCUUCGGAUUGUAAACCCCUUUCGGGAGGGAAGAUGGAACGAGCAAUCGUUCGGACGGUACCUCCAGAAGCAGCCACGGCCAACUUCGUGCCAGCAGCCGCGGUAAU
This 184-nucleotide ribosomal RNA is filed under the name uncultured Nitrospira sp. RNAcentral describes it as "partial 16S ribosomal RNA". It matches the Rfam family "Bacterial small subunit ribosomal RNA", at positions 338 to 524 of the family's 1533-position model. The record is from RNAcentral. Lineage: Bacteria; Pseudomonadati; Nitrospirota; Nitrospiria; Nitrospirales; Nitrospiraceae.